This 206-nucleotide unclassified non-coding RNA is filed under the name Hevea brasiliensis (rubber tree). Lineage: Eukaryota; Viridiplantae; Streptophyta; Magnoliopsida; Malpighiales; Euphorbiaceae. The record is from RNAcentral.
UGUUUGGCAAGUUCUAUGGUAUCCUUUUGGGUCAGGCAUUGGCAAUGGCCACUGGGAGUGGAUUGAUAUUGGAAUCAAUAUCUCAUUGAGAAGAGUCAAAUGCGCACACUGAACUCAUCUAAAGCUCAAAUGAGAACUCAAUUCAGCAACAAUGGCAGACUGCAAUAACCUCUAUGGAAGGACAAGGAAAUAAUCAAACAAGAAGU